UUGACGGAAGCGUUUCGGUAUCGGAAGGCAUU
RNAcentral lists this non-coding RNA (32 nucleotides) under Geobacter sulfurreducens PCA. The record is from RNAcentral. Lineage: Bacteria; Pseudomonadati; Thermodesulfobacteriota; Desulfuromonadia; Geobacterales; Geobacteraceae.